This 75-nucleotide transfer RNA is filed under the name Massilia rubra. Its description in RNAcentral is "tRNA-Lys". It matches the Rfam family "tRNA". Rfam says of the family: Transfer RNA (tRNA) molecules are approximately 80 nucleotides in length. Their secondary structure includes four short double-helical elements and three loops (D, anti-codon, and T loops). The record is from RNAcentral. Lineage: Bacteria; Pseudomonadati; Pseudomonadota; Betaproteobacteria; Burkholderiales; Oxalobacteraceae.
UCCGGAAUAGCUCAAUGGCAGAGCACUUGGCUCUUACCUGAGUGGGCGCUGGUUCGAUUCCAGCUUCCGGACCCA